Molecule: ribosomal RNA, 316 nt
Filed under: Acinetobacter baumannii
Lineage: Bacteria; Pseudomonadati; Pseudomonadota; Gammaproteobacteria; Moraxellales; Moraxellaceae
Description: bacterial LSU rRNA
Rfam family: Bacterial large subunit ribosomal RNA
Source: RNAcentral
GUCAGCAACUUAUAUUCUGUAGCAAGGUUAACCGUCUAGGGGCGCCGCAGGGAAACCGAGUCUUAACUGGGCGUUAAGUUGCAGGGUAUAGACCCGAAACCCGGUGAUCUAGCCAUGGGCAGGUUGAAGGUUGGGUAACACUAACUGGAGGACCGAACCGACUAAUGUUGAAAAAUUAGCGGAUGACUUGUGGCUGGGGGUGAAAGGCCAAUCAAACCGGGAGAUAGCUGGUUCUCCCCGAAAGCUAUUUAGGUAGCGCCUCGUGAACUCAUCUUCGGGGGUAGAGCACUGUUUCGGCUAGGGGGUCAUCCCGACU